Molecule: long non-coding RNA, 1303 nt
Filed under: Gadus morhua (Atlantic cod)
Lineage: Eukaryota; Metazoa; Chordata; Actinopteri; Gadiformes; Gadidae
Description: lncRNA (ENSGMOG00000028345.1)
Source: RNAcentral
AUGGUUGACAAGGACCAGAAAGAAAUGAAGGCAAUUAAUGCUGCUAUCCAUUUGGAUGGUACGCUGGUACGAACGACCAGCUUCAGCGAGAACGUGACGUAUUUCCCUUGCUCCAGUCUUCCAGUUCGCCAUUUGUGUCCGACGAGUUUGAAAAGAAUGGACGCCAAAAGAAGGGCAGUUUUGUCGAUCACACUGGACACUUUCCUAGAACAGGAAAUCAUGGCUGUGAUUUUCCUGAAACAGUUCCAGAAUCUCGUGGAAGAAGAUAGAAGUAAACGCAAACGGGCUGUGGUUGAGGCUAUGUCUGUGCUGCGGCCCAGAGUGAACAUUAUCCUGAAGUCUGGCACAGAGUGGCAGAUAAUGCUAGACAUGGAUGACCACACAUUUGCCCGGCAUUUCAGAAUAUCAAAAACCCGGUUUGAGGUCCUUAAAGGGUACCUACAGGAGGGUGGCCUGCAAAGCGAUCACAACCAUGGGCUGCCCCCCCUGCCUAUUGCCAAGAAGGUACUCAUGUUCCUGUGGUACAUGGGCAACCAGAACUGCUUCCGGGAGAUAUCAGACAAGUUUAACGUCUCAUCUUCAUCAGCACACCGCGCCAUACUCCAAGUGCUAACCAUCAUGUCCACCCUUGGCUGGGCUUUUGUCUCUUGGCCUAAAGGCUGUGAGAAGAGGGUGUCUGCCACCAGCUUCCAACGCACAUGUGGCCUUGAGAGGGUCAUUGGAGCGAUUGAUGGCUGCCACAUUAGAAUACAGUGUCCACGGGUCAGAGGAGUGGACUACAUGAACAGGAAGUCCUUCUACUCUGUCCUCCUCCAGGGGAUUGUGGAUGCUGAAGGCUGAUUCAUCAAUGUCUUCACUGGAAUGCCUGGCAAAGUGCAUGAUGCCCGGCUGCUGCGGUCCUCCUGGUUUUUCCAAGAAUGGCAGGAGAGGAUGGGGGAGUACCGUCUGCUGGGGGACAGUGCAUACAUCGGUCAGGAUUUUCCCUUCAUCAUCUCCCCCCGGCGUGACAACGGGGCUCUUACUGAUGCAGACCUUCGUCGCAACACCGACAUCUGCCGGGGAAGAGUCAUCAUUGAGCAGGCAUUUGGGAGAAUGAAAUGCAAGUGGAGGCGCAUUAGAGACUUGCAGAACACAUGCACUGUCACUAUUGCGAAGAUCAUCUUGGCUGCAUGUUAUCUUCACAACUUUGCCCAAGGUGCCUCGAUAGGAUGUGAUGAACACCCAGAUGGAUGUCCAAGAGAAGAUGAUGCCAACCAGUAGGAAAAGGUGUUCAGGCAAUUCUAUUAUGUUCAUUAUUCAUUAC